This 462-nucleotide long non-coding RNA is filed under the name Ananas comosus (pineapple). Its description in RNAcentral is "long non-coding RNA (ACOM_LNC010772)". The record is from RNAcentral. Lineage: Eukaryota; Viridiplantae; Streptophyta; Magnoliopsida; Poales; Bromeliaceae.
CGAAGAAGAUAACUUCUCGAAAAGAUAAAAAAAAUACUGAUAGAGCUUGCAUGUAUAUCCAAAGGUUAAAAAUGAUCAAAGGAGUUAAUGUAAGGACCAAAAAAUUAGAAACACCAGAUUCUCUAUACUUCCGAUAGCAUAGUAGUUCCACUCAGUAAAUAUUACUGGUGUUAAAUAAAGGUAUAAAAAACAUCCAGGCAAAUUAGGUCUUGAUUACUCAAAAGUUUGAUACGAGAGAAAAUGAUCUAAAAAUAAUCUUAAUAUUGCCGAGACUGUCCCUAACGUAAGUGACAAAGGGCUUGGUGAUUGGUAAUUUGGUACUUGAGAUUUUCAAGUUUGAAUCCAAGUUGAUUUAUAUUUCUAGCUAAGUUUAUUUUUUUAAAAAAAUAAAUAAAGCGGGUAGUAUACUACCUUUUUCUUUCUCAAAAAAAUAUUGCCGAGACCAAUUAAGCAAUCAACCAU